Non-coding RNA from Camelina sativa (false flax), 905 nucleotides. NCBI's taxonomy places the organism in Eukaryota, Viridiplantae, Streptophyta, Magnoliopsida, Brassicales, Brassicaceae. The record is from RefSeq and is a predicted model, not a curated record.
AAAGGUCCAACAGAUACAAAGGACAACAUAGAAGAAAUGGGAAAUUGGACUAAAAGGACUUAUUCUCCUUUAUUUGCGUAAUUAAAGAAUAAUUAAACAUUUGGUGCUGUGAAGUAAGUGCUUAUUCUAUGCAAAUGCAUCCUUUGAUGAAAGUACUAUUUUUUUUUCUGAAAAAUGUUUGUAAUGAUAAUGAAGGCAGCACCAGUGGGUUGGAUGUUCUUUAAGAUGGUUCAGAUAGUUAGAUUUUUUAUAUUCUUAUGAUUGUUCAUAUGCUCUAAGUCAAUGCCAAGGGAAACACAGCUGUUUACCUUCUCUACACCCAUGCUCGGAUCUGUUCAAUCAUAACAAAGUCUGGCAAAGACAAUGAUGAGCUUAAGAAAGUGUAUUUUCUUUGCUGCAUAAUCUCAGAUUUACUUGGCGUAUAUAGAUUCUUUGUCUUCCUUGAAUUCACUUUUUCAACAUCUUGUUUUCAUUGUUGCAGACAGGAAAUCUAGUACUGGAUCAUGCAGAUGAAAGAGCACUAGGACUUUACUUGCUACAAUUUGCUGAGGUAGGUUAGGCAUUAAUAUUGAUUCAGUCAAUAGCCCUGUUUUGGUUUUUCUAAUGAAAAAGAUCAUAUACAAUUUACUAUUAGAUCAAUGAUGUGAAUGAUUUUGCAGGUAUAUUUUCAAACAUUCUAUUACUAAGGAUAUUGAUUCUUUAUGCACAAUCAAGCUAUGAUGGUCUGAUUCUUAACUUAAAACAAAUGGUCCAUUAUAAAAAUUUGUCAGGUUACUGGAUCGGAACAAGAGACAAGCCGUCUCUUCUUACUAUGUGAAGCAACAUCAUAGUUAUGUGGAACUGCUUCCACCUUCUCGGAAUCACUCCUGUUUACAAGCUUUUGAUACAUACAACCAAACGACCCC